RNA transcript from Ochlerotatus camptorhynchus, 10164 nucleotides. It is a transcript of the gene named TATA box binding protein-related factor 2, with no coding region annotated. The record is from RefSeq and is a predicted model, not a curated record. NCBI's taxonomy places the organism in Eukaryota, Metazoa, Arthropoda, Insecta, Diptera, Culicidae. The transcript is spliced from 5 exons.
CAUUCAUACAGGGCAGUGCGAUUUUUCCUCAUUCGUUUUUCAAAAAUGGCCGAGUAGGUAGUGUCGAGCGAGUGCUCAUCAUCGCAGUUCAAUAUCCAAGCAAGAAGAGUGCACUUUUAGCCAGUUUCCCGUUUCCCUAGCUAGUGUGGUGGAAGUUUUUCACUGAUUUUUGGACUUUUCCAAAAGUUUGAGGUAGUAUUUUUCCCGACGGAAGUUGCCUGUUCGUGUGCCUGUUGGCCGUGUGUGCCGAAGAGAAAGAAAAAAAAAAGAUCCGUUCGAAGAAGUUUAGUGCUGAAGAGCCAAGGGGCGAAGGAAAAAAAAAAAGUUCAGCGAGGAAAAAAGGAAGUCAAAAAAUUUUGUGACCCCGCAAUCGUUACUAUAGUAGUUUUAUCGCGAAGCAGAGUUUUUAUUGAGGAAAAGAUUUUUCCUUUCGAUCAAAACCUACUUGAGGGUAGGUAGGUAAUACAACACAGAAGUGGCCUGUCCCCGAAUCGAGAGCCAUCAGAGAAGUAGUUAUAUAGCAACCCACCGUCGUAGUUAAGGGGGGCCCCGUUAAAGCGGAGAAGAAGAAGUCGAACGAAGAAAGGCAUUAUAGCGAGGAAAAAAAAGUGAAAAGCAUUCAACCUAGAAGAGAAUCUACUACGACGACGGGACGGUACGGUACGGUGGUGAUCAGCAGACUUCCCUCGCCGCGUGUGAGAGUGUAUGCUCGAGGCGGCGCUCGCCCGUGUGAAAGGAAAGAAAGAAUAAGAGCAGUGAUCCAAAGUAGUGCUCCGGAAGUGACCUCCCCCGAAACGAGAGAGACGGACGGUAGUCAGCGGAGCCAGCGAGGACCGGAAGUUCAGUUCCAGGACUGACGACUCCCAGCAACACUGGCCAUUGCGCAGUGGGGAAUUUGGACGGGACCAGGAGCUCUGAAUAGUACUCUGAGCCACACGACAGCCCGAGCAACGGCAGCCGCAUCAUCAAAUUUUAUCUCUGUGCACAUCUUCAACAGAAACACCAGGCAGCAUCCAUCGACCAAACCACCACCACACUUUAGAGCUCCCAAAUGACAUGUAGAUAACGGGGAAAAUUCGAAUAAUCUACCACCACUAAUUUUAUGGAUUUCCUUCAGCAGCAGCAGCAGCAAGUCGCCUUCACAUUUUUCCAUUUAUUAUUAUUGGUUGUUACUUGGUAAAAAUAUAACCUACUGAAGAAAAAAAAACAAAACUAGCGACUAAGUGAGUGUGCAAAAGCAAAAAUAAAUCACAGUGCAGUGUUCUGUUGUGAAUCAGUUGUGUUCCUGUGUGUGUGUUUUUGUAUAUUCUGAGAGGGCCCGCAACUAUAGCGGAUCGCGGUGAAAAUCAAGGAAGAAAGAUAGCGAAGAAAAGCUUCAUUCACCAGAAAGGAAAGAAGAAGGACAAGAAGAAAGCGCAAGAGUGAGUGUGAGGGAGGAAGCAACGAAAGAAAAAUCAGUCGCUCGAAAGAGCACCAAUAUUUAUGUAUUGCAGUAACCAGAGUAGUAUGGCUACUCUGUUACAGCAGAAGAGUUUUAUGAAAAAUCUGACCAAUGGAACAAACAACGUGGUGGUCGUAAAUGGCACCAACGAUAACCAGACAGCAACGAUGGUGGCGGCAGCGGGUGCCACGAUGGCCACCGUUCCCGGAAGUGCAAGCAGGAUGUUGCUACCACACGAGACGACGACCACCUUGAUCCACCAGCAGCCGUUGAUUCAUCAGCAAACGACGUUCACGUCGUCACAUUUGCCUGCCUCCAGCUCGAUCAGCUUGACCAAUUCGAGCAGCUUCAACAGCCAAUUCAUCAGUCAUCUCCAGAGCAAUCAUCAUCUGUCGACGCAGCAAAUCUUCGGCGGCAGCAACAGUAGUCAUCCGCAUAUUGUCACAACGACUGCUACUCCCACCACUUCCUUUCAGAGUCAGUUCAACAAUGCCUACGUCGACGUCAAUGCAAUAUUUCGUUCAGCAGCAGCAUCACCCACCACCACUAGUACCGCCACAAUGCAAUCCUUCUCGUCAACUCAUCAUCCGCUGCCACACCUAACGAAUAACACCAGCAGCUCCUUAGUGUACAUAAAUGGGACCCAACAGAGCUCGGCAACAGGGCUGUCCAAGUCGUCGCAUCUUCAUUCUCAUCACCAACAUCAACAUCAGACUGUAUCCGAGAGCCAGACUGCCAAUACCACCGAUUCCGCACGGACCACUGCGACCUCCGACGGAUACGGUGACUGUGGAAACGGGACAGAAGAACAACCUGCCACUGCCACUGGCGAGACGGAGGUGAACUCCACCGUCGCCGCCACCGCCGAGAAGGAGGAUGACCAGGAGCAAGAACCCGAACCAGAAAUCGACAUUGUCAUUAACAAUGUGGUGUGUUCGUUCAGCGUCCGCUGUCAUCUGAACUUGCGCAACAUCGCACUGAACGGUUUCAACGUGGAGUUCCGUCGCGAGAACGGAAUGGUCACGAUGAAGCUGCGACGUCCCUACACGACCGCGUCCAUUUGGUCUUCGGGCAAAAUUACCUGCACCGGUGCUACUUCGGAAGAUCAGGCAAAGGUUGCGGCUCGGCGUUACUCGCGUUGCCUUCAGAAACUAGGUUUUAAUGUUAGGUUUAGGAAUUUCCGAAUCGUGAACGUGCUGGGGACGUGCAGUAUGCCGUGGGGCAUCAUGAUCGUCAACUUCUCCGAGAGGUACAAGAAGGACGCCAGCUACGAGCCGGAGCUGCACCCGGGUGUGACCUACAAACUGUACAACCCCAAGGCGACGCUGAAGAUCUUCUCCACCGGCAGCAUCACAGUGACGGCCGCCAGCGUUGCGUUCGUGCAGGCCGCCAUCGAGCAGAUCUUCCCGCUGGUGUACGAAUUCCGCAAGAAGCGUACCCCGCAGGAGAAGAUAGAGAUACUGAAGCCGCCCGUAUUCGAUCCGGAACUGUUGAUCGAAGAGGAAUGUGAUAUCGACGAAUCGGCCACGAUGUUCCCGGCGGGUGGCAACGCAGGAGAAGGAGAAGGAGCCUGCAUCGAAAUUGUCGACGAUGACGACGGGGACGCGUUCGACGACGACGAGGACGUACGCAGCAGCAGCAACCACACCAAAGCAAUACACCAGCGAAGGAAUCACCGUCGCUCGUGCAAGUCCCGCUACAGCAGCAGCUCCCAGAAUGGCGGCCGGCGGCGUCCGGCCGGUAAGGCCGACAACGAUCCCACCGAGGACGCGAUGUUCGUGUCGGACGACGACGAUGACGACAUCGUCGAGGAGCUGAUCGAGAGUGACGAUGAGUAGAUCAUCCAGAUCGUUUUCCUAUUUUCCUUUCGGCUUUACUCAAUUCGUUUACUCAAUGCUGUUCGAGGUGCGCGAAUCCCGCCCGGCUCAAAUGCCUUUUGAAUAUAGAGAUCUUACAAUAUUCAACGCUUAUUGCUUGUUACAUUUCUCUGUUUAACCCGUUUUUUUUCUAUUGUUUUCUAAUAGAAAAAAUGUGGUUUCAUGUAAGGAACUGGUCAUAGACAAACAAACACACUCACACACUCUGAGAACAGUAGAUUGUAAACAUUGAGCAAUUGAGCAAGCCUCUCCCUUGAAACAUUUACCUUAACUACAACAAAUCCUGUGAAUAGUAAUGUUUAUGUAUAAAUAGGCAUCAAGGAAUCGAAAUAAUUCAGUUUCGUGAAUGUUUUGAGCCAAAAUAGGGUAGCCUUAUUUUAGUGAUGUUAGUAAUUUGUCAUGUCGAUUCUCUCAAAGUCAAAGAGUUGAGGUGAGGGUUGAGAUUUGCCCACGCCCACGUUACAUACUCUCCGUUUUUCGAUUUAUCAGGUUUUGUUCUUUUGGAGGUGAGAGAGGAUCCUCGUUCGCGCCAAAGCGUUGAGAUAUUUACGGUUUUGUUGCUUUUUUUUAAUCCAUUGUGACACUCUUUAAUGGACAGGAUAUGGAAGUUUUGAUUUACCUAUCGGUUGACUAACAAAAUAAAACUUGUAUGAAAUGAAAAAGGGUUCCUGCAAAUGAAACACAUACAGAAAAGCUGCGUUCCUAUAAUCUAACAAUCACCGAAGAACGUCGUGGCAAACACACACACACACACACACACACCCACAACGGGCAUUAAUCACUAUAAGAUUAUUGGUAUUGUCUCGGUUCAGCAGUGUCGGAAGGGGGUGGUUCCGAUAUUCACAGAACUGAACACACAAACAAAAAACGAAAUGAUUGAUAUUUCCACCUCCAUCAACCACCACCAACAACAACUUUUCAUUCUAAUGUAGAUAUUGUAUUUAUUUUAGGACAAGUAACAAUACAAAUACAAACUCAUACACGCAGAGCGCGAGAAAGAGAGAGAGAGAGAGAAAGCGAGACACGAGCGUGAUCUAGAAUAUAUCAAAGCUUCUUUUGUCUCCUACUAUUGUCACUGCAAGUUAGGAUUUUCCUUUCGGUUCCAGUUUUGUUAAUCUAAUCUGUUUUUUUUUUUUUCGUUAAGCUUAUUUUCUGUUGAAAAAAAAAUGUUACAAAAAGAUUAUGUUGCAAUCAAAAAAAAAAUCUAUCUAUUCCAUCGUGUGAGCGAAACUAAUGUGAAAUUUUAAGUUACUGUUUUGAGUUUUUUUAUUUUUCUUUCUGGAUCAAUUUUCAACAGCACUUUGUUACAGUAGAGUACCUUGUUUGGUUAUCUGGAGAGGAAGAUAAAAGAUGAAAAUUAAAAUCAUUCGAUUAUUAUUAGCUAUGUACUUUUAGAGUGUGCUGAGCAAGAGGAGUGAAAUGUGUCGCUGCGUACAAUUGGUCCUGAGUUAUUCGAUUUGGCGUCAUUGGUGCAGAGAUCGACUUCCCCGGGAAUGGAAAGCUUCGCUAUCGCAGCGAAAAUUGUGCACAGGAAGCUGGUCGAAAAAGAUAGACUUCAGAAGCUUAGUUCACUGCAUUGGUUUUGAUGUCCGUGUUAGGAAAUCGAUUCGUCAGAAAGUUUAAGUGCUCCCGCACUUGAAAGUGAUGUCUUUGUUAGGGAAACCAUCAGGUGAUUGUAAGAUUUACGAAUAAGCUUUCAGAGAGUAUUCUCAGGACUUUUUUCAUGAAGCGUUUUAAAAUUUUCCGGGAACCGUCGGUGGGUUGUCAGGAAGUUGUGCUUUCCAGAAAAAGUUCAUGCACUUUGUUACAGUCAGACCGGCUCAAAAUUCAGUUGUUUCGAUCCAAUUUUGUUAAAAGUGAGUCUAGUUUUCCGGGCUUUCCCAGGAAAAACUUCUCAAAUAUGAGGAAAAUCCUUGAAAAGUGUACUCAGUCUAGGAGUAUUAGACUGAGUAAAGCCUCUUUUGAUGAAAUUGAGUCCACUUGACUCUAUUUUGAGUCGGCCUGAUCGUCCGUGUAGCUUUCUUGGAUAAGCAUUGAGGUCUUUGAAAAGGAGUUCUGAAGAUGUUUAGCGAAGAUUCAGGAAAUAUUCUGAGAAUACCCUUAAGGUUCUUCACUGCCGCUAUUCGCAUAACAGUCCCUUUUGAAUAGAAAUUUCAGAGGACACGGGACUGCGAAUAGCGGUAGUCCACGAGUCAUUCGUUUGAAAACUGACUGGUUGAAAUCCGUAGAACAUCUAAUGGAGUCCUUGCCUUACCCUAAUAGAAAAUAACCAUAACAAAUAGCUUAACGGCGUGUUUUGGGGUAUCAUCUAAACCAUUUGUGGAAUCGUUCUAUCAUCCGGAUUACCGUUAUUUUAUGGUAUUUUUAUUAGGAUAGUCCUGCUUGAAAAAGCAUUGAUGUCUUUCAAAAGGAGCUCAGAAAAAGAAGUUAAGGGAAGUUUUAGAAAAAAAUCGGAGAACAUUAAACGUUCUCCAUGAGUCAUUCUAAGAAUUUUGGGAACGGUCUGGAAACUAGACUGCUUUAAAAUUCUCUGAACCUCUCAAAGAAUCCUUACCUUAGUCACUACCUGGAAAUGCAUUGAGGUCUUUCAAAAGAAGUUCUGAUUUCUAGAAGGUAAAAGACUGAUUGGAACAUUUCGAUCAGCUCGUGGAAGACUUUUAAGAAGUUUUACGGAUAUUCUUGUGAAGCUCACAAAACAACAUUCCUAAGAUUUUCCUGGAUUUUGUAUGAGGCUUUUCUAUAAAACAUAGCUUCUUGAUAAUCCUCUGAAUUUUAGCUGGAAUUGCUUUGAAUUGCCUCUUGAAACCAUCAAUGAAUGUAGCUGAGCUUGACUCUCCAAAUAGUUUCUGGAAAUGCUUCUGCGAAAUGAGGGAAAACCUUCGACCAAUAUUCUCUUCCUAGUCUUUCAACUUCCCUUAGAAAAGCACUGGGAAAUCCUCAGCCCCCUAUUCUGCGAGUCACGUGACUCUCUCACCGGUGAUGUGACAAUAGUCACCUCGUGUGAGGUGACUCUCCAUUUGAUUUACAUAGAGAUUCACCUCACACGAGGUGACAAUUGUCACCUCACCGGUGACAGAGAGUCACGUGACUCGCAGAAUAAGGGGGCAAUUGUUCUACUAAUAAACCUCUAGAAAGUAUGUCGUCCGUUUUCAAACUUUGCCUUGCAAACAUCCAAACAUUUCCUGAAGUCCUUCAAAACCACUGCCCCUAGAGAGCCUUACCAAUAAAUUUAGAUCAGUUCAAUCUAAACUCAAAACUGGUUACCGUCAUUCCAUUUGUUUUCCUCAAACUAUGGAUCGAGAAACUAAUUGCUUGAAUCCAGUAUCAAUUACCGCCCAUUGGUGAUCAAAACUGCGAUAUUUUCAAUCUAAUACUGGAUCAAGCCCGAGAGGAACAGCAAUUAAAACAUUGAACCAGACCAAAUUGAAAAAUCGCAGUUUUUGACACCAGUUAAAAGCGGAAAUUUGUACACUCAUGGUAGUUUCGGAAUUCCCACAACUUUUUACCUUGCCAAUCCUUUGAAGGUUAAUACAUAUUCAAGUUCCGAAAAUUGCAAAACUUUCAGAAGAUUCUACCGAAAUGUUCUAGGACUGUGAGUUUCGUCGUAGUUGAAGUCGUAAUUUCAGAUUCCUUCGAAAAAUUAUCGAAAAAGAUCGAAAUUGGGAGGCCCUCUUUGCGACAGACCUCUUCCGAAAAAUCAUCAAAGUGUGGAGGUAGAAAGCCCUAAUGGAAGUGAUUGCCCUUCAUGAAAGUGGAGGUGAGUUCCUUAGUUUCAUCAUAGUUUUGAAUUCAUGAAGGUGGAGCUCCAAAGCUUCAUAAAAAUGGAGGUAGAAAAUACAAGCAGUGUGAAGUUGUCUCUAAAGCUUUAUGAAAGAUGUGCACGGUCGAUCAGACCGACUCAAAAUUUUGAGGACCGACCACCGGACUUCCUCAAAAUUUUGAGGAAUUUCGGCAAAAGUCUUUUCCAGGAAAUACAUUUUUAAGGUUAAGAGAAAAAUUCAUAGAGGUUUCACUCAGUCUAUUAGUAUAUUCCCGGACUGAGUAAAAUUUUCAUGGUUUUCCAGCCCGGCUACUGAGAAUAACUCAGAGAGCGAGAGUCGCUUCUACUUAGAGGUAUGGAGACAUUUAUAAAAACUGCAGGAAGGCAGCGCUGAGUACCUACAGUUUUUAUACAUUUCUCAUACAACUGAGUAGAAGUGACUCUCUCUCUCUCUCUGAGUUAUUCUCAGUGGCCAUGAGGGCUUUUGCCCGAAAAAUUCAAUACACUUUUGGACGAAACUGAGUCGGUCUGAUCGAACGUGUGUUAGAUGAUAGUCCUGCAAGGCUUCCUCAAACUGGAGGUUGCAAGUCCCAAGUAGAAUCCUCCAACACUUCAUGCAAGUGGAGUUAGAUAGUUCUUAUGGAGGUGAUAAUCCUCCAAAGAAUAAUGAAAGUGAAGGUAGAAUGCCACUGUGCCGAUGUAAAUGAUCCUCCAAAGGUUCUUUAAAGGGGAGAUAGAAAUUCAUAACGGAGUUGAAAGUAUUCCAAAGCUUCUUCAAAGGGGAGAUAGAAAGCCCUAAUGGAGACGAUAGUCUUCCAAAGUUUCAUCAAGCUGUCAGCAUGAAAGUGGAAGUCUAAAGUAUCCUAGACUGAGUAAAAUGUUCAUGAAUUUUCCUCAUGCUCUAGAAGUUUUUCUUGGUUUUCCAGGACUUUUUCUCGGAAAAUUCAACUCUCUUUUGACGAAAUUGAAUCGAUUUUGACUCAAUUUUGAGCUGGUCUGAUCGACCGUUUGGUAGACGACAGAUUCAUCAAACUAGAGGUUGAAAGCGCAAAAUAGAAUCCUCCAACACUUCAUGCAAGUGGAGGUAGAAAGUUCUAAUGGAGAUGAUAAUCCUCCAAAUAAUAAUGAAAGUGAAGGUAGAAUGCCACUGUGGCGAUGUGAAUAGUCCUCCAAAGGUUCAUCAAAGUGGAGGUGACAUUCUUAAUGGAGCUGAAAGUAUUCCGAAGCUUCUUCAAUGGGAAGAUAGAAAGCCCUAAUGGAGUCGAUAGUCUUCCAAAGUUUCAUCAAAGUGAAGGUAGAAAGUCCUUCUCAGAGAGCAAUCAGCAUGAAAAUGGAGGUGUUCUAGAUCUCCAAAGCAUAAUGAAAGAGAAAGUUUGGAAGUCCUAGUGGAAGUGAGAUAGUCCUCAAGUCCUACAUAUCUUCAUCAAACUGGAGGUAGAAAGCCGUAGGCGUGAUGAUAGGCUUCCAUAGUUCUAAUGGAUAGGUCAACAUUUACAAUGGAAGUGUACUAGAUCUCCAAAGCAUAACGAAAGAGAAAGUUUGGAAGUCCCAGUGGAAGUGAGGGAGAGUGCAACCAUCAAAGUGGAGGUAGAAAUUCUUAAUAAAAAUGGAAAUUCUCCAAAUUUUCGUCAAACUGGAGUUAGAAACGCAAUAGUGAUGAUAGGCUUCCAAAGCUUCAUCAAAGUGGAGGUAGGAAGCCCUAAUGUAGAUAAUGGUUCGUGAAAGUUAAGGUAUCAAUUCUGAAUGGAGGUAAAAGUCCAACAAAGCUUCAUCAAAGUGGAGGUAGAACGUCCUGUAAAGCCUCAUCAAAGGUUUGGAGUAAUUUAAGUUUAAAUGGAAAGUUCCAAUGGAGCAGUUCCUGGUAAAAUAGCGUAAACAAAUAAGAAUGUUUGAAUCCACCUUCGACCGAUUUGUAUCAGACUUUGCGUAAUUGUUUGUUAUUGGCAAUGAUUCACAUUUACGCUAAAAUUCGGCCAUUUUGAAUAUUGUAAAAUUUUCCAAAAUGAUGUCCUUGAAAUUUUUCAAAUAAUUUUAACACGGAACAGGCUUUUCUGAUCAAAAUGUCGUCUGAGACAAAGUUUUAGAGAAAAGGCAUGUCUUCGUGGGAAAAAUAAACAAAAAAUGUUUAACUAUUUUAUGUAAAAAAAAUAAAUCCCAAAUAUCUCAAAAUGUCCUUGGUUGAUUUUUUUUUUUAAAAUUAUAAAAAAAUUCAAACUUUUGGAAUGUUCAAAUCUGGAAAACUGACACAAACCGUAGGACAAGAACCUUUGGUAAAAAUUUUGAAAUUUUUGUUAUCCUUUUUUGUGGAAUUUUUCAAUGAUUUCAAACAUUGUUUUCUGAGCAUAAAUUACAUGAAAAAACGGUUUUAGAAAAAGUUCAAAAUUUUGAUCCAAAGUUCAUGUUUUAAGAUUUUUGUAAAUCUUUAAGUGUCCAUAAUUUUAAACAUUUUAAAGGUUUGCAUUUGUCAUAAGAUUUUUUUUUUAAUUUUAAUAUUCGGACUUAGGCAUUUUGAGUAGUUUAGGUUCUUUUUUUUUCACUUGAAAUGACUAAACACAUGUUUUUGUAUAUUUAAGUAACACUUUAUUUUGCUCUACAACUUUGUCUCAGAUGUCAUUUCAAUCGGAAGUGUCUUUUUUUAGGCUACUAUUUUUUAAGUUUCAAUGGCGCCAUUUUGAAAAAUUUGCAUGAUCCAAAAUGGCCGAAUUUAAAAAAAAAUGUGAAUCGUUCAUAGCAAACAAUUAUGCAAAGUUUCAUGCAAAUCGGAGAGGGUCGAGUUUUUCCGAUUCGUCAUUUGACGUGAAGCUGUUCCUAAUGAAGAUACCGUGAAGUGCCAUAAUUUCGUUCAACAAUUUGUAGUGUAUUGUGAUAUUUUCUAAAUGGAUAUUCUUCCCACACAAUAGUCAGUAACACCUAUCCAAAAUUCUUGUUCAAUUCAAAAUGUCCUCAUUUAAGAUUUGAAUCGAAUUUUGAGAUAAUGCGGGAAAUUAUAGUACUUUACGGUAGUCCUCCAAAGCUUCAUCAAUUGAUAGAUAGGCCCCCUUAUUCUCCGCCGCUAGUGAGGUGAGGUGACUCGCUGUCACUAGUGA